CAAGCUUUAUAAUUCACUAGCAAUCACCUCUAGAUUACUACAUGUCCAAUAUAUCUAUGAAUAAAAAGAUCUUAUCAGCCAUCAACCCGACUUUAUUUAUAUAGUACACUUAUCAAUACAAACUAAUACAAGUAUAAAAUGAGAUAAUUAUGAAAAACUUUUGAAAAUAAUACCUACAAUUAUAAAAAGGUACCAAAGAAAAAAUCCAAAAAUCUAUACUAACUUUUCAUC
This 231-nucleotide long non-coding RNA is filed under the name Physcomitrium patens. RNAcentral's name for it is "long non-coding RNA (PPAT_LNC001328)". Lineage: Eukaryota; Viridiplantae; Streptophyta; Bryopsida; Funariales; Funariaceae. The record is from RNAcentral.